GCAGAAAUAAAAGAUAUGAAUAUAAUUGUAAACUAAAUGGGUUCUGUAAGAGGACAGAUAAUUAUACCGUUGUAGAAUUUUUACCUAGGGAAGUAUCUAGGUUGUCGAUUUAUAUUUAUACCACUGGGAAGGCUAAGGGUUAAACUAUAUUCGAUUAUAUUGAUAAAAAUGAAUAAAUGAUAUUACCUAUGUCCUAUAAUCUACUCAUAGC
This 211-nucleotide long non-coding RNA is filed under the name Sorghum bicolor (sorghum). RNAcentral describes it as "long non-coding RNA (SBIC_LNC012130)". Lineage: Eukaryota; Viridiplantae; Streptophyta; Magnoliopsida; Poales; Poaceae. The record is from RNAcentral.